GAUGAACGCUGGCGGCGUGCCUAACACAUGCAAGACGAACGAAGCACCUUACUUGAUUCUUCGGAUGAAGGUCUGGUGACUGAGUGGCGGACGGGUGAGUAACGCGUGGGUAACCUGCCCUGUACAGGGGGAUAACAGUUGGAAACGGCUGCUAAUACCGCAUAAGCGCACGAGAGGACAUCCUCUUGUGUGAAAAACUCCGGUGGUACAGGAUGGGCCCGCGUCUGAUUAGCUGGUUGGCAGGGUAACGGCCUACCAAGGCGACGAUCAGUAGCUGGUCUGAGAGGAUGAACGGCCACAUUGGAACUGAGACACGGUCCAAACUCCUACGGGAGGCAGCAGUGGGGAAUAUUGCACAAUGGGGGAAACCCUGAUGCAGCAACGCCGCGUGAGUGAAGAAGUAUUUCGGUAUGUAAAGCUCUAUCAGCAGGGAAGAUAAUGACGGUACCUGACUAAGAAGCUCCGGCUAAAUACGUGCCAGCAGCCGCGGUAAUACGUAUGGAGCAAGCGUUAUCCGGAUUUACUGGGUGUAAAGGGUGCGUAGGUGGCAGUGCAAGUCAGAUGUGAAAGGCCGGGGCUCAACCCCGGAGCUGCAUUUGAAACUGCAUAGCUAGAGUACAGGAGAGGCAGGCGGAAUUCCUAGUGUAGCGGUGAAAUGCGUAGAUAUUAGGAGGAACACCAGUGGCGAAGGCGGCCUGCUGGACUGUUACUGACACUGAGGCACGAAAGCGUGGGGAGCAAACAGGAUUAGAUACCCUGGUAGUCCACGCCGUAAAC
Molecule: ribosomal RNA, 777 nt
Filed under: uncultured bacterium
Lineage: Bacteria
Description: bacterial SSU rRNA
Rfam family: Bacterial small subunit ribosomal RNA
Source: RNAcentral